Molecule: transfer RNA, 87 nt
Filed under: Pseudomonadales bacterium
Lineage: Bacteria; Pseudomonadati; Pseudomonadota; Gammaproteobacteria; Pseudomonadales
Also listed under: 1 other name
Description: tRNA-Leu
Rfam family: tRNA
About the family: Transfer RNA (tRNA) molecules are approximately 80 nucleotides in length. Their secondary structure includes four short double-helical elements and three loops (D, anti-codon, and T loops).
Source: RNAcentral
GCCCGGGUGGUGAAAUUGGUAGACACGCAAGACUUAAAAUCUUGUUUUCGUAAGGAAGUGCCGGUUCGACCCCGGCCCCGGGCACCA